UUUUCUUUUUCUUUUUCUUUUUCUAGCAAUUUUUUACAAUUCUUUGGUUUAAAUGACUUUGUGAGGGUCACCUAUACCGGAGUUGCCUUUUUGCUUUCUUUUAUUUUUUUGUUUUGCUGGAUCAUUCACUUAUUUGCAUCGGUCCUUUUGGUUUAAAUGACUUUGUGAGGGUCACCUAUACCGGAGUUGCCUUUUUGCUUUCUUUUAUUUUUUUGUUUUGCUGGAUCAUUCACUUAUUUGCAUCGGUCCCCUACAUAGAGGAUGCGUAGGCCGGAGCUGACUGCUGAGAUAAACUACUGAGGACUUAUACGGAAAUGAUGAUUAAGGUCAUGGUAUAUGGGGUUU
Molecule: long non-coding RNA, 345 nt
Filed under: Lathyrus oleraceus (garden pea)
Lineage: Eukaryota; Viridiplantae; Streptophyta; Magnoliopsida; Fabales; Fabaceae
Description: Pisum sativum (pea) long non-coding RNA (PSAT_LNC010286)
Source: RNAcentral